GCGCCGGUGGUGCAAUGGCGUUGAGCAUUCCCGCCCGGUCAGAGGGAGGUGCGGGUUCGAGUCCCGCCUGGCGCU
Molecule: non-coding RNA, 75 nt
Organism: Heligmosomoides polygyrus
Lineage: Eukaryota; Metazoa; Nematoda; Chromadorea; Rhabditida; Heligmosomidae
Source: Rfam